AUUGGGAGCAUUAAUAAAAUAACCAAGUAAACAGAAUUUAUCGAGCCAACGAAAACAAAUCUGUUUCAAGUUCAAAAUUUUACGCGGAGUUUAAAAAGCAAAAGAAAGGCAAAAUGAGUCGAGCUUGCUUCCUUUUGGCGGUUCUGCUUUGCGGGUUCCUAGCUUUCUGUUCGCCACAAGGUAUCACAGAAAAUCCCUACAACCGAAAUUGUUACAGAAAUAUAUAUUGUUUAGUUGACGAUACUUAAGGAAGUUGUACAGCCCACAAAUAAAAGGACUACGAGCACCACCUUGGACGCAUUGCAGUCCUUAACUCAACUUUUCUUCAGCAUUUUUGAUGGCCUUAGCUGGGGCUAGUUUCAACAAGACGUGUUCCUUAAGACGUGUUCCUCGAACAGAGCCCAAUGGUUAAAGCUCAUUGUUGAUGUCUCUAAUCCUUUUUUUUUCUUAUCUAUAGGCAUAUAUUUUUUUUACUUUAAUCCUAUAAAUUUGUGAUCGUUGUAUUAUUUGAAUGGGUAUUGGUUUUUUUCCGGA
Drosophila biarmipes is the source of this 534-nucleotide long non-coding RNA. RefSeq lists it as uncharacterized. The record is from RefSeq and is a predicted model, not a curated record. The transcript is spliced from 3 exons. Lineage: Eukaryota; Metazoa; Arthropoda; Insecta; Diptera; Drosophilidae.